CUUGAUCAAUUAUAAGAGGUCAAGCCUGCCCAGUGACAUUGUUCAACGGCCGCGGUAUCCUAACCGUGCGAAGGUAGCGUAAUCACUUGUCCUUUAAAUAAGGACUAGUAUGAACGGCUUCACGAAGGCUAUACUGUCUCCUUAAUCUAAUCAAUUAAACUAAUCUCCCCGUGAAGAAGCGGGGAUUCAUCUAUAAGACGAGAAGACCCUAUGGAGCUUUAAACAUCUAAGACACUUGAUUUUUACCUACUAAACUUCAUGCAACCUAUCCUUUUGUCUUAAGUUUUAGGUUGGGGUGACCACGGAGAAAAAUUAAACCUCCACGUAGAAAGAAAAUUCUUUUCUAAGCAAAAAGCCACAUCUUAACGCAUCAAUAUAUUGACUUAACUUGACCCAAUUUCUUGCUCAACGAAC
This 414-nucleotide ribosomal RNA is filed under the name Allobates femoralis group sp. ABGD cluster 9. RNAcentral's name for it is "partial large subunit ribosomal RNA". It matches the Rfam family "Bacterial large subunit ribosomal RNA", at positions 1834 to 2457 of the family's 2925-position model. The record is from RNAcentral. Lineage: Eukaryota; Metazoa; Chordata; Amphibia; Anura; Aromobatidae.